AUUGAACGCUGGCGGCAGGCCUAACACACGCAAGUCGAGCGGAGCGGCGGACGGGUGAGUAAUGCCUAGGAAUCUGCCUGGUAGUGGGGGAUAACGUCCGGAAACGGGCGCUAAUACCGCAUACUAUCAGAUGAGCCUCGGUCGGAUUAGCUAGUUGGUGGGGUAAAGGCCUACCAAGGCGACGAUCCGUAACUGGUCUGAGAGGAUGAUCAGUCGCUCUGGAGCGGAGACACGGUCCAGACUCCUACGAGAGGCAGCAGUGGGAAAUAUUUGACAAUGGGCGAAAGCCUAAUCCAGCCAUGCCGCUUGUGUGAUGAAGGUCUUCAGAUUGUAAAGACCAUUAAGAUUGGGGUCGUUACCAACAGAAUAAGCGCCGGGAAUCUUCGUGCCAGAAGCCGCGGUAAUUC
Molecule: ribosomal RNA, 407 nt
Filed under: uncultured bacterium
Lineage: Bacteria
Description: partial 16S ribosomal RNA
Rfam family: Bacterial small subunit ribosomal RNA
Source: RNAcentral